CCGUGUUGAUGCGUCUCUCGAAGACUCGCGUGGGUUCUCUGCCUCCGCCGCCCACCGCUCAACCGCCGAUGCACCACCGCUCAACCGCCGUAGCUCCUUAUAAAUGGCUCCCGCCUCGCAAGCUCGCUCCAAUGCCCAUGCCCAUCACGCAGCGCCCACACGCGCUAGUAGGUCCGGACGAGGUGAUGCUGGUGGUUUGCGAGGCACCCUCGGCGCGGCUUGGUUCACAGCGGACCGCGAAGCAGAGCUGUGCGGCGAUGGCGACGACCAGCACAGGGCACGCGUGACACCGCGACAACAACCACGUGGCCAUGGAGGGGCUCACGCAGCGCGCGGCGGUGCGCGGCUAGGCGGACCUCGCGCUGCGGCGGCGGCAGGUGCGUGCUAGCCAUGGCCAUGAGAGGGGAUUUGCGGCGUGACUGCGGCAUGAGGCAGCGGGGAUCUCCCAACCUCUCCUACCCCCCCUCCUGAUGUGGGAAACCAUGGAUUACCGGUUUUUUGCUGAAUCUUUAGUCGUGUAGAAACGGCGUCACGGCUGGGACGCGACGGUGCGGCCACCGGCGCCCUGCAUCCUCCACAGGUGUCGCAUGCUUAUGCCCCUGCCCCCUUCCUUCGGCCGUCCAGACCGCCUCCGUCUCAGCCGGUGGAUGUCCAUAUGCCGAAUAACGAGUGCGGCGGCGAUCACGGUCUGCCCCACUCCGCCAGUCCUCCGUCACUUCUUCCGCUGGCUUACUACUACUCAUGCAGGUGGAGUUCAACAUGGAAGAGCUUGCCAUGGCCCAAGCAUCAUUCUGGGCGUAGCUGCCCACCUCCAUGUGACGAUUGCUCCAACGCAGACCAAGUGUUCGUCGUAAUGUCAGAGCGGCCACAGUGAUGAGGAUACAUCAGUUCGUGAUGAGCUUCGAGGUCUGUGUAGUGCCGGAAGAUGGCGACCAGUAGCGGGCGCUCGCGCACUGCUUCUGGGAUGACACAACCAAGACUAAUAAGGAUGAAGAUCAUGUUCAUAUUUCCAAUGGGUUCGUUCCAGUGGUAUGGACGCGGCGAGGCAAUUUAUUAAGUUUGCAGGAGCAGCCGCUGCGUACUAUCCCACACUCUCUGUCGACAGACCACCUUCUUCCACGCCGACGCCGGUCGCCGGGGUACGGUCCCAUCCAUCGCCAUGCAAGAGCGCUCUAAUCCCCUAGACAGUACUGCUCACAGCAGUUGCAGGCGCGGACGCAUUGCCCUCAGCCGUGGAUGCCGCUGUCCCGUACCAAGGAUGUGCAGGCAUGUUUUAGAUUAUGAUUGUGCAAAGGAAUAUGUUAGAAAAUGACGGUCUGCAAUGGUGUACCCAAAUACUGAACAUCUUCUGAUUUUACUGGAAGAUUGAUGUGGACAUUGAUGUUAUUGCACUGGCAGCUGAUUUUUUUCCCUUCACAUUUUUGAAGACUGGAUUUUCAGCAGCACUGCACUAUUAAUUAGCUUUCUGCAUGUGACUUGUGAUUGCAGCUGAUGAAGCCAUCAACCAUUGGAGGCACGGGAUUGUCGAGCCCAAGGUUCGUCACCCUUGUUUUCUAAAGGGAAGCUAAAGUUGGGGUUGCCAAUCUCCGAGGAUUUUCUCAACGUGAAAUAAUACAAGAUGGUGAACACCUCGGAUGCAGCUCAAAGAUCAAAUAUCAUGAUAUAGAGUAGGCAUUAAACCUACCUUAUCUACUUAAUUUUUUGUUGCAGACUAAUCAUCUAUCUUAUCUGUACAUGGCUGAUUAGGAAGUAGUACAGUACCCGCAAGUUUAAUAGUUAUCAGAUUGUUUCUGUACAUAGUUCAUUUGUGUACUAAGACGGGAGGCCAAGUUGUUCAAUUUGUGGAUUUGAUUUAUUCAGACUGGUGGCAUUCCUUAAUUUCUGAUUCCUGUUUAUGUUUGGUUUUGAGCUGGAAAUUAUUUAUUCUGGCACAUCUAACUGCUGCUUCUUUUGCCUAGCCUCCUUUCAAUGAAAUAUUUCCAGUCAGUAGACUAUACUUGCUAUUCCAAGCACAUAUAGGCCUAGGGUUGUCCACUAAGAGAAGGUGCAACAAAUUCACUUGGUUUGUGAAUAUCUUUGGGGUUUGUAUUAAUAUGAGCUAGCAACUUUUCAUAUAUAUGCCAGGUUGUCUUCAAGCCAUAGAAGCACCAUUGAGCCCUGGAGCUGUGGCGACAGCGCCGUACCAGCCACCGUCGUCCUCUUCCAUGCCCUGGCCAUCCAGGAGGAGUGCCACGGCUAUCGCAGUUCUCCCCAUGGCAUCCCGGAUGGCAUCCUCCGGGAUGUUGAUCGUGUCCUUGCACCGGCGGCAGCCGGAGCCUGGUACGUCCAGAGAGGCAUGGCCUUGGAUUGGAGCAUUGCAGGCAUCGAUCCACUUCGUGGUAGCCAUGGGGUAGGGUGGCGUAGAGCUCAGCCGCGUGAGCUGCAGUUCACCAGUUCAUUCCUCACCUGUAAGCCUAGCAAGAAGGAAAAUGGUUUGUGCUAUAUAUACGACUGAACUGGACAAUUGCAUAGAAUGUAGAUAUUUGCACAUCUGAUUUCUUUUGUGUAGUCUGGGUACUCUUCCCCAUGGUGUUAAAAAUAUAUAUGUUUGUGAGGUUGUAUGACUAACGUGAUUUUGUAACACACUAAGUUAACCCAAACUGGCUUGAAUUUGUUGGUUA
Long non-coding RNA from Triticum dicoccoides, 2660 nucleotides. RefSeq lists it as uncharacterized. Lineage: Eukaryota; Viridiplantae; Streptophyta; Magnoliopsida; Poales; Poaceae. The record is from RefSeq and is a predicted model, not a curated record. The transcript is spliced from 3 exons.